Molecule: ribosomal RNA, 489 nt
Filed under: uncultured bacterium
Lineage: Bacteria
Description: partial 16S ribosomal RNA
Rfam family: Bacterial small subunit ribosomal RNA
Source: RNAcentral
AUUGAACGCUGGCGGCAGGCCUAACACAUGCAAGUCGAACGGUAACAGGAAGAAGCUUGCUUCUUUGCUGACGAGUGGCGGACGGGUGAGUAAUGUCUGGGAAACUGCCUGAUGGAGGGGGAUAACUACUGGAAACGGUAGCUAAUACCGCAUAACGUCGCAAGACCAAAGAGGGGGACCUUCGGGCCUCUUGCCGUCGGAUGUGCCCAGAUGGGAUUAGCUAGUAGGUGGGGUAACGGCUCACCUAGGCGACGAUCCCUAGCUGGUCUGAGAGGAUGACCAGCCACACUGGAACUGAGACACGGUCCAGACUCCUACGGGAGGCAGCAGUGGGGAAUAUUGCACAAUGGGCGCAAGCCUGAUGCAGCCAUGCCGCGUGUAUGAAGAAGGCCUUCGGGUUGUAAAGUACUUUCAGCGGGGAGGAAGGGAGUAAAGUUAAUACCUUUGCUCAUUGACGUUACCCGCAGAAGAAGCACCGGCUAACUCCGU